Long non-coding RNA from Oncorhynchus nerka (sockeye salmon), 1299 nucleotides. RefSeq lists it as uncharacterized. NCBI's taxonomy places the organism in Eukaryota, Metazoa, Chordata, Actinopteri, Salmoniformes, Salmonidae. The transcript is spliced from 2 exons. The record is from RefSeq and is a predicted model, not a curated record.
CAGUCCCCUGGGGCCCUUCGGUAAAUAUGCAAAUUGAUUUUUCUUCACAUGCUUGCCUGUAAAAGAGAAAAAGAGAAGUUGGUAAUGGAUGACAUUUACUUCAAAUGCAUUGAAGUUUUCCCCACGUCGAGGGAUGUGUAUUGCUGUUGAUUUUCCUUUAAUUUUUGUCCUGCUUCAAUAACAAAUCUCACCAGAUUGUCUGCUGGAUGAUCGGGAUUUCUCCAUAAGGCUUAGCCCUCUGACUCCCUGACCUGUAACGCCGCAGUGAGAUCACCAAGAUGAUAGGGAAGUAUAAGACAACAAAAAAUGUUGGGGGGGGGUUCAACUGUGUGUUGUCAUUCUAAACUAAACGGCUGUUCUGGUUUGUCCUCUCUCAAGGUGAUGACAAAGGGAAAACAGGUUUACAGAAUAUUUUGCAAAUGUAUAAAAAAAUAAUCUGAAUCUAGAUGCAUGGAAGAUAAUUAGGCUGAGAACAGUGUGAACCUCAACAUCCCCUUUAACCGUCUGAAAAUGGCAUUCAGUAUGGUCCUUCACUUCUACCGUGAGACCUGAGUCCGAGCCAGCAACCUGUACACAGCUGCCGAAAGCUAUCAACUGCCUUCUCUCAUGCUUUUUCUCUCAGGAGUACUAGUAGGAAAAUGGACAAAGACCAUGACUAAAGGACAGUGGCGUUUAUCAGAGGAUGGUGAAACAGAUGGCAACUCUGGAUGAGCCCCCAUUUCCCACUGUAGAUUGAAGGUUCUAUCAUUACUCAUCGUCCCUCUUUUAACAAGUUGAGGGUAAGGUCAUCUAAACCUUUAAUCUGUUUACAUUAUGUGGAACACUGCGCUGAUGAGCAAGCACCAACCUUUUGAAGAUCUUAGCAGAAUUAUGAUAAACAAAAAAGGUAAAUGCAACCCGAUUGUGGUAAGAAAAAUUGAAACAAAUGGUUAACAUUGAGGUGAAUAAAUCUCUCAAUCUACAGAUCCGCUGUGCAUGCAUGCACAUUUUUGAUAUUGACUCCUACUUUAUUAAUGGAAUCUUUCCUAUGAUUCUAGUAUUACCAUACUAACUGGAUUGUACAACCCAGAAUGAAGGGUUUGAAAUGUCUUUUUUUUCUGUUCUAAUUUCCCUUACUUUAGAGUGUAAAAUAUUUUGAUAUAGAAGCUCAAAUCUAAAUGCUUACAUUAAAAUGUAAUGGUUAUCACACACGAGAAGAGGAUGGAAUGUAAUGGAACAGUUUGUGUUUGCGCUUUUCUUAUAACACAUUUCUGUGUUCUAUUCAUGUGCUGUUCUAUAAAAAAAUAUGUUUUCAUGCAA